GGUGGUAGGGAGUCCGAAAGGUGACGACCCUUCGGGAGCCUGCACAGGUGCUGCAUGGCUGUCGUCAGCUCGUGUCGUGAGAUGUCCGGUUAAGUCCGGUAACGAGCGCAACCCUUGCUGUAUGUUACAUGUGUCAUACGGGACUGCCGGUAUCAAGCCGGAGGAAGGUGGGGAUGACGUCAAGUCAGCAUGGCCUUUAUGUCUGGGGCUACACACACGCUACAAUGGCCAGUACAAUAGGUUGCAAAGCCGCGAGGUGGAGCCAAUCCUUAAAGCUGGUCUCAGUUCGGAUUGCAGGCUGCAACUCGCCUGCAUGAAGUCGGAGUUGCUAGUAACCGCGCGUCAGCUAUAGUGCGGUGAAUACGUUCCCGGGCCUU
Molecule: ribosomal RNA, 377 nt
Filed under: uncultured Anaerolineaceae bacterium
Lineage: Bacteria; Bacillati; Chloroflexota; Anaerolineae; Anaerolineales; Anaerolineaceae
Description: bacterial SSU rRNA
Rfam family: Bacterial small subunit ribosomal RNA
Source: RNAcentral